GCAUAUCAAUAAGCGGAGGAAAAGAAACCAACCGGGAUUGCCUCAGUAACGGCGAGUGAAGCGGCAAGAGCUCAAAUUUGAAAGCUGGCCCUUUCGGGGUCCGCGUUGUAAUUUGCAGAGGAUGCUUCGGGUGCGGCCCCUGUCUAAGUGCCCUGGAACGGGCCGUCAGAGAGGGUGAGAAUCCCGUCUUGGGCAGGGUGCCCGUGCCCGUGUGAAGCUCCUUCGACGAGUCGAGUUGUUUGGGAAUGCAGCUCUAAAUGGGUGGUAAAUUUCAUCUAAAGCUAAAUACCGGCCGGAGACCGAUAGCGCACAAGUAGAGUGAUCGAAAGAUGAAAAGCACUUUGAAAAGAGAGUUAAACAGCACGUGAAAUUGUUGAAAGGGAAGCGCUUGCGACCAGACUCGGCCCCGGGGUUCAGCCAGCACUCGUGCUGGUGUACUUCCCCGGGGGCGGGCCAGCGUCGGUUUGGGCGGCCGGUCAAAGGCCCCAGGAAUGUAUCGCCCUCCGGGGUUGUCUUAUAGCCUGGGGUGCAAUGCGGCCAGCCCGGACCGAGGAACGCGCUUCGGCACGGACGCUGGCGUAAUGGUCGCAAACGACCCGUCUUGAAACACGGACCAAGGAGUCUAACAUCUACGCGAGUGUUCGGGUGUCAAACCCGUACGCGCAGUGAAAGCGAACGGAGGUGGGAGCCCCCCCGGGGCGCACCAUCGACCGAUCCUGAUGUCUUCGGAUGGAUUUGAGUAAGAGCGUAGCUGUGGGGACCCGAAAGAUGGUGAACUAUGCCUGAAUAGGGCGAAGCCAGAGGAAACUCUGGUGGAGGCUCGCAGCGGUUCUGACGUGCAAAUCGAUCGUCAAAUUUGGGUAUAGGGGCGAAAGACUAAUCGAACCAUCUGGUAGCUGGUUCCUGCCGAA
Molecule: ribosomal RNA, 911 nt
Filed under: Aspergillus nidulans
Lineage: Eukaryota; Fungi; Ascomycota; Eurotiomycetes; Eurotiales; Aspergillaceae
Description: LSU rRNA
Rfam family: Eukaryotic large subunit ribosomal RNA
Source: RNAcentral